AGUGAACGCUGGCGGUAGGCCUAACACAUGCAAGUCGAACGGCAGCACAGUAAGAGCUUGCUCUUACGGGUGGCGAGUGGCGGACGGGUGAGGCAUACAUCGGAAUCUACUUUUUCGUGGGGGAUAACGUAGGGAAACUUACGCUAAUACCGCAUACGACCUACGGGUGAAAGCAGGGGAUCUUCGGACCUUGCGCGAUUGAAUGAGCCGAUGUCGGAUUAGCUAGUUGGCGGGGUAAAGGCCCACCAAGGCGACGAUCCGUAGCUGGUCUGAGAGGAUGAUCAGCCACACUGGAACUGAGACACGGUCCAGACUCCUAAGGGAGGCAGGAGUGGGGAAUAUUGGACAAUGGGCGCAAGCCUGAUCCAGGCAUACCGCGUGGGUGAAGAAGGCCUUCGGGUUGUAAAGCCCUUUUGUUGGGAAAGAAAAGCAGCAGGUUAAUACCCCGCUGUUCUGACGGUAACCAAAGAAUAAGCACCGGCUAACUUCGUG
RNAcentral lists this ribosomal RNA (492 nucleotides) under uncultured bacterium. RNAcentral's name for it is "partial 16S ribosomal RNA". It matches the Rfam family "Bacterial small subunit ribosomal RNA", at positions 29 to 507 of the family's 1533-position model. The record is from RNAcentral.